RNAcentral lists this unclassified non-coding RNA (316 nucleotides) under plant metagenome. Its description in RNAcentral is "partial contains 5.8S ribosomal RNA, internal transcribed spacer 2, and large subunit ribosomal RNA". The stretch from base 1 to 105 matches the Rfam family "5.8S ribosomal RNA", at positions 50 to 154 of the family's 154-position model. The record is from RNAcentral.
GAAAUGCGAUAACUAGUGUGAAUUGCAGAAUUCCGUGAAUCAUCGAGUCUUUGAACGCACAUUGCGCCCCCUGGUAUUCCGGGGGGCAUGCCUGUCCGAGCGUCAUUGCUGCCCAUCAAGCACGGCUUGUGUGUUGGGUCGUCGUCCCCUCUCCGGGGGGGACGGGCCCCAAAGGCAGCGGCGGCACCGCGUCCGAUCCUCGAGCGUAUGGGGCUUUGUCACCCGCUCUGUAGGCCCGGCCGGCGCUUGCCGAACGCAAAUCAAUCUUUUUCCAGGUUGACCUCGGAUAAGGUAGGGAUACCCGCUGAACUUAAGC